RNAcentral lists this long non-coding RNA (434 nucleotides) under Phasianus colchicus (ring-necked pheasant). RNAcentral describes it as "lncRNA (ENSPCLG00000001016.1)". Lineage: Eukaryota; Metazoa; Chordata; Aves; Galliformes; Phasianidae. The record is from RNAcentral.
GGCAUUGCUUUGGGAGCAGCCUUUUGUCAUCUGCAGGGUAAAAGAGGUGCUGGCUUAAAGGGCUUUGCAUCAGACCGUGAGUUACAGCAGACCUUCAGAUAGCUGUUCUGCAGAGCAUUUGUGGAUGAAAGUGUAUGAGUCAAACUGGAAUUAACUCCUUUCUAUGAGGAGCUUUGUUCCUCCUGUGCUCUCCCCGGGCUGUAUGAAGGCAUCACGGCUGGUGCCAGGCUGGGCACUCACUGCACUUCCCAGCUCAAUUCUGCUUCAGCAAAUAAGAGCUAGGUGCAAUGUGAUAGAUGCUCUGCCACCAAGUGUACGGCUGAGUGGUAAUAGAAGAUGAGAUAGAUUCCUGUGAAAUAAUAUUGCUCACUCCUGGUUUUGCUUCUAUCUAUCUGAAAUGUAAAAUAAACUGGGCAUGUUCAAAAAAAGUUUCA